ACUCGCGAAUGCANCUAGGAUUUAAAGUUUGAUCAUGGCUCAGAAUNCCAACGCUNUACGGCGUGCCUAACACAUGCAAGUCGAACGCGAAAGUCCCGCAAGGGAUCAGUAGACGUGGCAAACGGGUGAGUAACGCGCUGGGUGACCUGCCUUCGAGCGGGGGAUAACGUUCCGAAAGGGACGCUAAUACCGCAUAACAUCCUGCCUUUUAAGAGGUGGAGAUCAAAGCCUGGGACCGCAAGGCCAGGCACUCGAAGAGGGGCCCGCGUCCGAUUAGCUAGUUGGUGGGGUAAUGGCUCACCAAGGCUCCGAUCGGAUAUCCGGCCUGAGAGGGCGGACGGACACACUGGGACUGAGACACAGGCCCAGACUCCUACGGGAGGCAGCAGUAGGGGAAUAGUUCGCAAUGGGCAGCAAGCCUAGACG
Molecule: ribosomal RNA, 426 nt
Filed under: uncultured bacterium
Lineage: Bacteria
Description: bacterial SSU rRNA
Rfam family: Bacterial small subunit ribosomal RNA
Source: RNAcentral